This 405-nucleotide ribosomal RNA is filed under the name uncultured bacterium. RNAcentral describes it as "bacterial SSU rRNA". It matches the Rfam family "Bacterial small subunit ribosomal RNA", at positions 355 to 774 of the family's 1533-position model. The record is from RNAcentral.
UGGGGAAUAUUGGGCAAUGGGCGAAAGCCUGACCCAGCAACGCCGCGUGAGGGAAGAAGGGUUUCGGCUCGUAAACCUCUGUCCUAUGGGACGAAGGGAGUGACGGUACCAUAGGAGGAAGCCCCGGCUAACUACGUGCCAGCAGCCGCGGUAAUACGUAGGGGGCGAGCGUUGUCCGGAAUGAUUGGGCGUAAAGGGCGCGUAGGCGGCCUGAUAAGUCUGGAGUGAAAGUCCCGCUUUCAAGGUGGGAAUGGCUUUGGAUACUGUCGGGCUUGAGUGCAGGAGAGGAAAGCGGAAUUACCGGUGUAGCGGUGAAAUGCGUAGAGAUCGGUAGGAACACCAGUGGCGAAGGCGGCUUUCUGGACUGAAACUGACGCUGAGGCGCGAAAGCGUGGGGAGCAAACA